GACCGGCCAGACCUUAUCCUCCUCCUGCCGGAUAAACAACCAAAGAACCACACAGCUUUAACAAACCUCCACCUCAAACCACCCAGCUGUGGAUCAAUGUUCUACCUCCAUCCUGACAACUAUGCACCUCCUCCAGCAUCUGCAGCAGCUUUUACCAUCCAACUGCUGCAAACCAAAAUACCAUGUCAACCUCCACCUGCUACCUCUGCCAGUCAUCUGCACCACCACCACCACCACCACCUUCACCUGCAGAUUCUGGCAGAGAGAACAAGCCUCAAACUCCAGCCUCUGUAACACAUCGGCAGCCGUCCUGCUCCGGACUCCAACCACAAGAACCCAAAAGAAGCCCGAGCAUGCACCUAAAACUUCUGCAAGCAGAGUCUUCCAGACAACUGUAGACAAAGCCUUAACAUAAGCAUCUGCCAGACAACAGCCAGAUCUGUCUCCAGCCAGCUACCUCCACCCCUACUAAUGCUUCCUAACUGCCUCCACCUUCAUCCAGCAACAUGCACCUCUGUCUCCAUCUGCAGACUGUUCCUUCUUUAAUAAUCCCACAGUUGAUUUAUGUGAUUUCUUAAUGGACGUCGUUGAUGUACAGUGUUUUAAACUCACAGAUUUUCUUUUUGCUUUUUUUCAGGUGGACUUCAGAGACAUCCAGACGUACAGGAGCUGAUGAAGGCCCAUUCCGACAGUUCCUUCUGCUACAAGAUCUGUGCACCAGAGAUGUCUUUAUCUCCUCCUCAUCCUCCAUCAUCACCAGCGACUCCUGCUCCUCUCCUGAACUGAAAGCUCCUCUUCACAUGGACCCUUCAACUCCACAAAGCUUCCUCUGAUCUCCUCCACAAGUCAGCUCCAAAACAGACAAAACAUUGGACAAUUGUUUGUUUUGCCCGUUCACCUUGCAGACCACAGCUACUGUCACAGAGGGAGAAUCUCUGCACGCCGUGCAGACAGUGACAGGAAGCCCAGAGCAUCCUGCAGAGACCAACAGCAGCACUCUGCUCAUCCUCCCAGACCGGCCCAGAAGAGGAAGAGGACCUCUGCUGCUCGUCCUUCCACAUCUUCUGCCGAACAUCUGGUCCCGAGGCCUCGGUCCCCCAUCCCACCUGCCG
Non-coding RNA from Labrus bergylta (ballan wrasse), 1112 nucleotides. Lineage: Eukaryota; Metazoa; Chordata; Actinopteri; Labriformes; Labridae. The record is from RefSeq and is a predicted model, not a curated record.